GUUGUAUAAAAACGUAGUUAGCGCUAACUGCAGUUAAAAAGUAGUUAAAAAGUGAUUAACUUUAAUCACGUAGUUAAGCCGGUUGUAUAAAAGUGUAGUUAGCCUUAACUGCAGUUAAAAAGUAGUUAAAGUUAACUAUGCUUUAGAGUAUAGUUAACUGUCCAAAACGUAGUUAAAAAUGGCGUUUGUAUAGGAGUGAACAACAUUUUUCAGUAAAACAACAAUGAAAAGCAACGCUUACCUGAGAUUUUCAAUCGCUAUUUUCCCUGUCAAUGUUUCCUGAUAAUAUAAACUCUUCAAACGCUAUCGCUUUGGUGUUUUUACGAAAACAGAACAUAUUUUUGCACAGGACGAUUUCUCGAAGACGAAGUAUGGUCCAUUACACCAAGAAACACUGAUAUAUAAUUGCCAAACAGCUAUACCUUGGUUUAACGUAGACAUCUCAAG
Paramuricea clavata is the source of this 447-nucleotide non-coding RNA. The record is from the annotation of a GenBank genome assembly. Lineage: Eukaryota; Metazoa; Cnidaria; Anthozoa; Malacalcyonacea; Plexauridae.